Oncorhynchus mykiss (rainbow trout) is the source of this 597-nucleotide non-coding RNA. NCBI's taxonomy places the organism in Eukaryota, Metazoa, Chordata, Actinopteri, Salmoniformes, Salmonidae. The record is from RefSeq and is a predicted model, not a curated record.
CCGGGUAGACUCAGCCGCAGCAGCCCCUCCAUCCUGGAGGUGAGAGAGACGUACGGACGCUGGAGAUGAAAGAGACAAACUGAGCGAGGGACCGCAGUCUGAGAUGCAUGCAACAAAGAGACAAACGAUCAAAACGGCUUAACCCUUCCCUUACCUGCUGUUGGUCCGUCAGCUGUGAUCAAUGAACAUUAGGUCAUUUCAUCCAGCCAUUGAACCUGAACAAGAGAGCACAGAAUGUAUGUCAUGAAUACGCAAUGAACUUAUGAUGUGGGUGAUUUAUCCCUUCGCUGCACUGAGGACAAGUACUGGGGGAGAGACUGAUGAGGUAGGACUCUUGUGGGUUCUCACAGCUGCCGUGUACCUUCAGAGAGACAUGAAACACUAAGGGGGAAAAUAUGGUAUUUGUCAUUCUGCGAGCAGCAUCUUGUCAUAUCUACAAUGCCUUUGAAAGCUUUGUGUAGCAAGAACCUUUAAUAUUCAUGACUAUUAGAAUGGCAUCAAAUGGAACUAAAGUAGGCUACUUGUCAGUGCUGAUUAUUCUCAAACUAUUCAUUACGAAUUUUGAUCAGUCAUGGAAAUAAAACUGCUGAAAACAAA